CAAGCUGAGCGGAAACGCAGGUAUCGGCCAUUUCCGCGAGCCAGGCCCGCGCCUGCACCCGCGCGUGCAAAGUCGCAACCUUAGGUCUCCUCUUCCGGUCCCGUCGGCUCGCAUUCCCCCCGCUCUCCGCCGCUCUCUCCUUGGUGCGACGCGUUUGGAUCUCUUCGUCCCUGCUGCGUCUGCCCUUCGCCGCCGCAUCUCCUAGCCGGUGCCAAGGAAAACGAAGAACAAGAGAUCAGCUAGCGAGGAAGAAAAACAAGAGAGACAAGCUAGUUUUGUUUUGUAUUUGUGCUGUUGGAAUCAAUAGAUCAGCUAGUUAGAGCAGAUAUAUAGACAGUAAUAAAGUGCCUUCGGAGCUUGUUAUUCUGUGUAUAUGCAAAAUAUAGGACCUCAUAAAUGCUGAUAAUGGAAUACACAUAGAAGUACAUGGAUUUUCA
This is a long non-coding RNA of Triticum dicoccoides, 437 nucleotides long. RefSeq lists it as uncharacterized. The record is from RefSeq and is a predicted model, not a curated record. The transcript has 2 exons. NCBI's taxonomy places the organism in Eukaryota, Viridiplantae, Streptophyta, Magnoliopsida, Poales, Poaceae.